Long non-coding RNA from Passer domesticus (house sparrow), 6660 nucleotides. RefSeq lists it as uncharacterized. NCBI's taxonomy places the organism in Eukaryota, Metazoa, Chordata, Aves, Passeriformes, Passeridae. The record is from RefSeq and is a predicted model, not a curated record. The transcript is spliced from 3 exons.
AAGCUGCAGCAUCUCCUGACCAGUUACCAGCGUAUUUCCUUGGCUGCAGUUUCCCGUUUGCCCCACGUUGCUGCCAAGCUGCUGAACUCUGACUUACCAAAGCCCACACAUCCAGAGAGCUGUCACUCUGUUCUCCAGCCUCUUCUCCACUCCUGCAGCUUGCAAAGGGUUUAGAGGGAGAUAUUUUUCAACUGGGGCCUCAGUGAUAACAAACACAGGAUGUGUUUUAAUGUGCAUGGUUUGCACAUUAAUACCCAAAUGCAAAUACUUCCCAUCAAGACACCCAUUAGGCAACAUCAUAAUCUCACCAGCCACUAGAACUUCCACCUUCACUUCUCCAUACUGUACUAAGUACCUCUGUCACCUCUGCCCCAGGGCGUGAUAAUUUAUCUGUGCUGCUCCACUUUCCCAACAAACUUUUUUACUGACAGCAGAGUACUUUCCCUUUCCACCCCUCUUCUUUUCCUUCCCUGCCUCUUCAAAAUGCUCCUACCCUACUUAAGGUAUUUUUUUCUUUCCAAACUAAAGAAAACCAAAUUAUAAACCUGACGUAAAAAAAUCACGGUCUGAUCACAAAAGAUAGAUAAAUGGACAGAAAAUAGGAAGUCAAAGUCAUUUUCCCAAGCAUAGGAAUGAAGCCAGGAAAAGAAAGCAGGUCUCCUGGGAGCACAUCAGACUGCAGCCACCUGGGCUGAGCUGGCUGCAGGAGCACCCCGUGUUCCUGGCCUGACCCUGAAGCAGGGAGCAGCAGCUGCAGCCGCUGUUUUAUUCCAGCAGCACUGUGCAGUCGCCAAGGGGCACCGUGAGCGCUGAGACCUCACUGGCAGCUGGUCAGCACGGGGCUCUGGCUUCCAGCGUGGAGGAUGGAGGAGAUGUUAGGGCUUGGAGAGAAGAUUCACAGAAAAGUAUUAUUAGAAGGCUCACUUAGUACAGGAAGUGAUGGUGCUCAAUGGUUGUGGUCAUUGCUUUUGAUAACAGCCUCUAUUUGUCUGCUCGUGAGGAAUGAGCAGCACUUCUCUGGAGGCAGCCUGUGGCCAUGUACAGGGUGCCCCUGAUAUGGAAUGCUCUGUUUACACUGGAGCCAUGUUCUCCUGCCCCGCACAAGGAGUGAAGUGAGUCACAAAUGUUCAGCCAGGAGAUUGCCACAGUUUGUAUCCUGCGGGCAAAGGUGUGCUCUGCAAGAUUGCCUGCCUGCUGUUCACGGGAGCAAUGUGCAGCACUAAGGUGCAAUAAAGCUGAUAUAUUUACACCUGGUUUAUGAUCAAUGCUUAGAUCUCUGCUUUGUUCAAUCCACAGUCCUGUGUUUAACAUGAGCCUGAAAAGGUCAGAGUCCACCAAGCCCUUCCUUCAGGCUCGCCAGCAUUUAAAAAGCAACUUGUGGCUGUCAGGCAAGAAGAAAGAGAGGGCACCAGAGCACAUGGCCCCUCUGUGGGACUGUGCCCUUGCUGGCACAGAGCAGGCUGUUGGAGUAGAGGGGCUGGGGGCAGCUGUGUUAGAGCUGCACUGUGCCUUCUGAUGCUUCUCUGGCUGGUUUUCUGCACUUCCUUCAGCUGAAGAGCUGCUCUCCCCUCUGUGCAUAUGUUUGGGUGGGCUGAGCUGUUGCUGUUACAACCCCUGCUGCCAUUAGCAUACACAUUCCUUCUUGUUUGUCACAUUUAUAUCUUCCAAAGCAUUUCUGUGCGACUCCUAUGUCAUUGUGAAGAGAGUUUGUUUUAUGCACAAAUUCUAUAAGAUAUUUUGAUCCUCAAUAAGCAAGGCAGGAAUCCUUUUUCAUGGUUAGGCAUGAACUGCAGGUUGCCCCCUGUGCUCCAAAGUAAAGAAGUGAGUCGGAGUUAAGUGAAGUGACUAAAGCCUUUGAGAUUUAUGUUCAAGCACUCAUUCUCAUGAUAAGACAGGGCAGAGAACUUCUGCAACUCCUUAUGUUGCUUGAAAUGAAUAUUGUUUUCUAGAGAACUAGAUUAAAAAAUUCAGGCUUGAAGAUAUUUUAGUGUUUAAUUACCCAAGAAAAAAUGCCUUCGGGAGAUUAAAAAUACCCCCAAAGGAUGAUAAUUUUGAAUGCACAGUAAAUUUCUGAGAUUCAGCAGUUAGUUAAUUCUUACCAUGUGCUGCUUUUAUUUUGUGAGACUCUGAGAUCACGUGCCUGCAUAUUCUGUUCCCUCCUUCUCAGGGGAUUCCCACUGUUUAGACAAGCAGCUCAUGCUCAUUCAGGGGAAAAAUGAAUUCCACUGCUCCCAAAGAAAUGAACAAGGACGAUAGCAAGAGCUUUCCCUGAAGAAUUCUUCUGCUUUGGUUUUGCCCAGAGGGACAUCCUGCAACAUUUUAAGCUCAAUGCAGUAGUUAUUAAUGCAUAAAAUUACUGAAAUUUAGACUUGUGCAGAGGAGAGGAAGGAUAGAAAGGAGAAAGGAGGAUUUUGGUAUCAGCUGUAGAAAAAAUAGGAGAUGGUAGCAGUCUACUAGCACUGAGAGUCUGUCAUGAGAGCGGGAGUAAGGACAGAUUUAAUGGUCAUUGAUAUAUAGGGGAAAGAGGAGCUAUGUGGAAAACAGAAUAUUUCAAGCAAGACUAGUAGGCAAGAAAAAAAGGCAAAAAUAGUCUGAAGGAAAUAAAUAGUAAUGGUACCACUGGGAAAAGAGAUUUGGGGAAAUGGAAUGACUAUUGUAUGAGGUGAUUGGCUGUUCCAGUAGAAAACAAUGGCAAAAAAGGCAGAACAGAAUAUUUUUUCUAAUACUAUUUCUGUCAAGUAGUAGAGUCCUAUAUUGAGAUUGUUCUGAAACCCCCAAUUUAUCCUCCCCAUUAUUACACUCCUGAAGUUAUUUUCAUGAUUGUGUUUCUUCAAAUAAUUUCAUUGACUUUUAAAAAAAGUUAUUUUUUUAAGGCUCAUCUCUAAAAUGCUUUGGCAGUAAUGAUGUUUGGAUGAAGAUGCCAGAGCUUUACAGCCAGAAUCUCUUGCUUGUGCACUCUCAAUGAUCCCCAUAUGAUGUCAUCUUUCUAGAACAACUGUCAUCAAUAUUCUUUUUCUUAAGAGGUUAUGUCUGGACGUUAAUAGCAGUUUUGCUUGAAUAUUGAUUUAUCCCACUACCUUGUCAUCUAAGCAGAGUCUAACAGAAAGAAAUUCUGACUUUGUGUUGUCUGUUUAGCCAGCUUUUCUUGCCUUCUUUAUGAUUCUAACAGCAGUUGCAGUUAUUUUGCAGCAGUAAGCUCUGUAACUCACAGGACUCAUCAAGCAAAGAACUGAGUUUCUCAGUCUACAGGUUCAGGCUCUUAAAUGAAAUUCAUCAUCAGGUAGUGAGAAUUGUAGUUUGUUAGUAUCCUUGGCAGUAGGAUAUUCUGGCCACAGAAUUUAAAAACACAAAGUUAUGAUUUUAGCUGGGUGUGAUGAACCAACAAGGAAUGAAAGUGAAAAGAUAACUGUUGAUGAACUUACAUACAACAGAGAGAUUCACAAACAAUUUUGAGAAAAACUCAAAAAGAACAAGGUUGAACAUUGCAAGGAGGUGAAUUGAUCACUCUAGUACGGGUUAUAAAUGUAUUUUAAAGUUACUGUGAUUCUAAUGCACAUGUAGGCCAUCCUGGAUGUCCCAUUGCUCAGAUGUAGGAAAGCAUUUGGCUUUCAGCCUUUUGCCUCACAGCUUACCCAGGAUCUGUGGUAUUUUCUGUAACCACAUAUUUGAGUAUGUGGCAUUGGCUUUCUGCUGUAGCUGAGGUUUAGCUAAAAUUAGACUGUCUUCAGACUAGUAAACAUAAAUCUUAAUUCUCUUUGCUUGUCUGGUAUCUGUAUCACAAAAAAUCUUGUGCUGUAUAUGACCCACCCUCCAUCUUACCCUGUCCUUCCUUUAUAUUCUCCCCAUUUUCAUCUGUGAUCUUUCAGAUUUCCUCACCUGCUUUGAACAGUCCUUUUUCUUUGGUCUGCAGUGUGGGCUCUGGGCUGUUCCUUUUGCCAGUGGUACACACACCCUCGUGCUUACAUUCCUGCUGCACUGAUCUGUCCCUGAGUCCCAUUCAGAAAAGAGGAAUUCCAAGAGCUGUUGAGGCACACAAUGUCUUCUGAAAAUGAACCUGCAGCUUCCAAGAAAACUCCACCAAGCUACUUUCCAGACUGGAGUCUACAUGCUAUAAACAAAAUUUUGAAAAAUAUCAAAUUCUAGUUUCUAUCAAGUAUACAUGUCCAGUCUCAUAAAGUAGCCUGAUUUACAAAGCUGUCAUAAGAAAGGCCAGGGAUGCUUCUAAUGGCUUCAAGACUUUUGCCCUGAGGAUGAGAGGCUUCAGGAAUUAUUUUAACUCAUUUUUGUUAUCUUUGUUUUACACUAUUGAAAAUGGCAGGUCUGUUUUCACUUUCCGAAGGCAAACACACAACUUCAGGAAAAUUAUUUUCUCAGAUGCCUUCUGCCUCAUGCAUUAAUAUUGCAAAUCUGUAUAAUAGUAAAAUGGGGUUAUAAAGAGAAAUCUGGCCUUGACUGAAGGCAGUAAUAAUUACAUACUAGUUUUGUAGGUUUACAGGGACAUUGCUGAAGUCAUAUUAUAAAUUUUCUAGAACUGAGAUUUGUGAAAAGCUGUAUAAUGAAAAGAAGAUGGUGCUCAAUUUAAAUAAUUAUCUUAGGUGACAUAGCUGUGAGAUAGCAUGUAAAUCCUGAAUUAAAAUUGGUCUGUGCUGGGUAAUUUCAUUGUCUAAAAAGAUCUGACAGAUUAAGUUUAAAAGCUGUGAUUAAUGGUAUAUAUUAAAUUAGCUUUGAAACAUAUCCAUUUUGGUAGACUCUCUUUUGACAGCACAAAUCUUAAAAAAAAAAAAGGUGGCAUUUUUGCCCAAAACCCCCUUGUUUUAGUUUUUUCUUCAUGAAAAUAUCAUAAAAGUCUAAUACCUAAUUUUAAGCUAAUUUACUUUCUUUUAUUAUUUUUCAAAUAUCAAAGCAGAAAUGUUAUACUGGUGUAAAUAUCUAUUUGUGGACUAUGAAACUAUUCUGCAAGGCGUCCUCAAGAGCACAUCUGCUGUUCUCAGUCCAGUGGAUUCUCAGCUUGCUAAAGUAAGGGCAGCUCCUCACCUCUGCUGCUUUCCACAGCCCCACUGUCCCCAUCACUACUGACAGCUUGCCAGAGGAGCCCAGCCCGUGAUCCAUCCUGGAAGCAGCAGCACCAAACCUUCCCUGAGAUCCAUCCCAGCCAGAGCAGCUCCUUAGAUUCCGGGCUGACACCAGCCAGUGGACACAGUGAUUCAUGCUGCCUGAAGAUUAGUGCCUGAAAAGUCCUGCAUCUCUCUCCCUUGACUGUAAUAACCAGUUUGAACUUGGCAUUUAACUUUCCAUGGGCAAAGUGAAGUGUGGGGAGCCCUCCCUCCCUUUUAUGUUCCACAGUUGUGGAUAAUGGAUCUGAGCACUGGGAGAAAUGUGUGUGUGCCCUGUGCAGGCGGCCACAGGAAGUUGUGAGCUCUCUGCUAAGUAGAUUAGAGACUGUAACCACGUCCUGAAGUUUUAUAAACUUCUUACUCAGUUCUGCUCUGUGAAACAUUUCCACUUAGUCACUGGCUAUUCAGCACAAAUGAUUGAUCAGAAACAUUCCCCUAAUGUAAAUCAGUCUUAUCGUGUUUAAACACAAAUAUAACUUCUGCCAGCCAGGAUGUUAUGCAUACUGGGAGUGGGAGGGAUGCAAACAGCUGGGAGCAUUCCCUGUUUACUGAAUCCAUAUUGCCAUAGUGCUGCUUUGCACAGUUGGAGACUUGCUGUGCAGAAGGAGCAGUUCACAAAGAGUUUAAAAUUGCUUGGCUGUAAGAGCACAUGAUUUGCUUUUCAUUGCAUGCUUUGAUUUCAGUCCUCUGUUUGGGCUAAAAAUAAGAAGACAGAAAUAUUAAGUAUACUGGUAUUUUAUUUAUUCCACUAAUUUCACUACCAUCUUAUAGUAGAGAACACCUUCCCACCAAAUACUUGUUUCACAUUUCAGGGAGUUCUUUCAUGCUGCUGGGAGAUGCAUUUUCUGCCUUUGAAAGUACCAUAAAAGUACAGUGAACUGACUCAAGCUGACUCAUGGUUGGGGCAGAUGAAGCUUACAGCUCAGCUGAUUCUGGAUAGCAUUGCAGGUUAUUUAUACAACAUGCUUAAGGCUUUCCAGUGACUUGUUUGUUCUUCCUUAUUUAAAAUUUAAUUUUAUUCCAGGCAAGCCUUGGGAAUUUAUGUAACAAUUUUAUCUGCUGCACCUCAUCCUUUUACUGGGGGUAAACUGAAUACAAGUGGUGUAAUUUUUGUUUGAAGGCAUUUUUAUUUUCGUUUGGGAAAGGAUGGGACUGAAGUGAAAAUGAAGGCUGUCAUUCUUGUUGUCUGGACAUUUUUGCUUUAGUCAUACUCUCAGCCUUGACUUCUAAGUGCAAACAGGAACUUGAGUCACUUGUGGGAAAAGGUGCAGACUUGUUUGCGACACUUCACCUGCAGGAGAAGUUCUACAGACAGUGAGAGAAAAUAACACCCUGAAGGUCCUGGCAGAGUCUUCUGAAGAUAUAAACUGUGCAAUAGGGAAGGUGCCCACUUGCUGUGGAGGAUGUGAUGACAUUUGCUUACUUUGGAGCUGAUCAGGACUGCUCAUAGGCAGGUAUGUGGGUUGAAGGGUAAUUCCUAAGAAACUUAUACACCCCCAGACUAGUGGUUUUACCAUGAAAGUCCAGGACACCAACAAAGAACAUG